GAUGAACGCUGGCGGCGUGCCUAAUACAUGCAAGUCGAGCGAACAGACGAGGAGCUUGCUCCUCUGACGUUAGCGGCGGACGGGUGAGUAAAACGUGGAUAACCUACCUAUAAGACUGGGAUAACUUCGGGAAACCGGAGCUAAUACCGGAUAAUAUAUUGAACCGCAUGGUUCAAUAGUGAAAGACGGUUUUGCUGUCACUUAUAGAUGGAUCCGCGCCGCAUUAGCUAGUUGGUAAGGUAACGGCUUACCAAGGCAACGAUGCGUAGCCGACCUGAGAGGGUGAUCGGCCACACUGGAACUGAGACACGGUCCAGACUCCUACGGGAGGCAGCAGUAGGGAAUCUUCCACAAUGGGCGAAAGCAUGACGGAGCAACGCCGCGUGAGUGAUGAAGGUCUUCGGAUCGUAAAACUCUGUUAUUAGGGAAGAACAAAUGUGUAAGUAACUAUGCACGUCUUGACGGUACCUAAUCAGAAAGCCACGGCUAACUACGUG
This 497-nucleotide ribosomal RNA is filed under the name uncultured bacterium. RNAcentral's name for it is "partial 16S ribosomal RNA". It matches the Rfam family "Bacterial small subunit ribosomal RNA", at positions 28 to 507 of the family's 1533-position model. The record is from RNAcentral.